Molecule: long non-coding RNA, 411 nt
Organism: Nycticebus coucang (slow loris)
Lineage: Eukaryota; Metazoa; Chordata; Mammalia; Primates; Lorisidae
Exons: 3
Source: RefSeq, a predicted model, not a curated record
UGGAUAACAAGUGUCUGAGCCUGUUAGGGAAGAGGUGUGAGAGAAGCGAGUCUCAGCUUCUCAUUCCUUUCUUUUUGUUCUUAGCAGCAUCAGGGCAGAGCCAAGAGGGGAAAGGAAGGUGGAACAUUGAAAGGUUUGCCCGUGUCGGAGAGUUACCUAAAGAGAAGCAGAAGAGUGAGGGAAGCUGAAUUCUAAUCUGAAAAGAUGUCCAUCUCUUACCAAGUUUAUCCCAGAAAAUGGUGCCACGGAGUCCCACAUUUAUCAUCAGGAACCAACAGGCUGUCUGCUCCAUCACCAGCAGAUGGCACUUUAACUGUGACUCAACCUGAGGCCUUCUAUCUAAGGAAGCUUGUUCUAAAUAAGUUCUGAUGGUGCUGAUGAGCUGUGCAUGCACUAUGUCCCAGCCAUCAG